AGAUGCCAAGACUGCUUUACUUCUCCAAGAUCAGUGGAAAGCAAAACCCUUGUUGUGAGCCAAAACAAUCCUUGGAAACGAAUGUCGCUAAGUCAAUAUUUAGCUUCUGCGGACGGCAUCAUCGUCGGCCAGUUUAUUUUUUCUGGGCCCCGCCACAUCUGCUGCCAAUGUCAUGUGCGGUAGCCG
This is a long non-coding RNA of Centropristis striata (black sea bass), 186 nucleotides long. RefSeq lists it as uncharacterized. The record is from RefSeq and is a predicted model, not a curated record. The transcript is spliced from 3 exons. NCBI's taxonomy places the organism in Eukaryota, Metazoa, Chordata, Actinopteri, Perciformes, Serranidae.